GAAAGAACAACCUAGCUUUAUGAGUAUGAAUAUCAUAAGCAUUGUCACUGCCAUCAUAACAGCACUCACACGCAUACAUAACAUAAUUAACACCAUGAACAUGCCCUUCUACCCAACUCUAAGCUACUUGCAUAGUACUACAUAUAUAAUAUCCUUAUUGAAAUUAAAAAAAAAACAACAGUAACAUCGGAAGAUUAAAAAACAUAGCCUCUUAAUCCUCCCAUCCCCAUGAACCUGCAGUGGUCUCGGUUCAUUGAACCAGCCCAUUUAAAGGAAAAGACCUUAAUUAUUUUUUGCAUAAUAUAUUACAGAUUUUCUUCCUCGAUCAUAGACAAGGGGAGGAAAAUUCAAGGGUCCUGAUCAUGGUGCUUGUUGGCAACAUUGCACUGCUUUCUGACCUCACCCUUUGUGCCAGUGAGAGGGUUGUUCUCUGAGAGCAAGGUAAUGGCUCUAGAGAACUCCUUGAAGAAAUAGUCUUGGCUCUUGGCCAUUUUCUUC
Molecule: long non-coding RNA, 498 nt
Filed under: Glycine max (soybean)
Lineage: Eukaryota; Viridiplantae; Streptophyta; Magnoliopsida; Fabales; Fabaceae
Description: long non-coding RNA (GMAX_LNC001616)
Source: RNAcentral